AAUUCUUGUUGCUUACUAUAUUCAUUUUGUUUUUGAUUAGAUUUGUAUGUUAAUGAUUUUUGAAUAAAAAUGUUGUUAGCCAACUUUUCAUUUUAACCAUGCACACAUGCACACAAUGCUAUUGCCUUUGGCGACUGACCUCAAACCAAACAGCAAAGCAAAAAUUGCCCAAGAGAAAAAUAGAAUAAAAUUUAAAAAGUUUCCAUAUUUGGAUAUGGGUACCCUGUAUAUAUAUGUAUGGCGACUCCUCAGACCAAUUUUGUGACUGUUUCUUUUGAGUCACAAUUUUGACUGAAAGGGAGUAAAGCACGCAAACAUGACAUUCCUCAGCUCAGACGGAAUGUGGCCCGAUGUAAAGUAAAGAGGGUUCAGGGAUUGCACGUUACCAAUAUUGUUUCGAUACAGACGUGUGGAUUGCAAGUCUCAGGACGCCGCUCAAGCCGAGUAUGACAUUAGUGACAUUUAAAAAAAAUGUAGCAAAUUUGACAUUGAUUGCGUAUAGAAGAGGAAAAUGUCAGUGUUGCGAAAUUGCAAUGUAAACAAGAAAACUUUAAAGCACUCAGCGUUUCCACGAGAUGAUUUAGGUGGGAAAGAAAUUUGAACCAGUGCAUUUGCAUCGUUUUCAGCGAAAGAGCUUGCAAUGUACGAUUUUGGGCCUUGAACACCAUCGUCUCGAAAACGAAAAUCACUUCAUCGGGAGGGGAAGGCCAGGGGUGUGGGCCAAGGACUUGCCGUGUUGUUUUCUUUAAGCAAAAAUCACAUGGAGCAUGCAUUCCCGGUUGCCUCAAAGCCGUCUCGGAUUACACAAUUCUUGUUUGCAAUUGGGACCUCUGCUGAAAUUACUGCUUCCUGUUUUGGGUAGUGCAAACAAUCGGUAACUGCAUAUAAGGGGAUCGCGUUGUUUUCUGUAAAGCAUUUAAUAACAUUAUUUUCGCUAUAGUUCAGUAAUUAGACAUACUGAGAUUACUUUAUUUACUUCGAACAAUGCAAAAAUAAGGAGAAGCGCUAUAUUUCAGUAAUUGUGUUUCGGCCAGAGUUUCGUUUGCUAACGUAGUGUGCAAUAUAGAAAGUGUGCUGAAAUUGUUUACGCAGAUGCGCUGGAGAUCGCAUACGAUUUACUAAACGUGGCAUAGAAAUUGGUUCUGCUAACUUCUUCUGGGCAAUCUCACUUUUGUUUUGUCAAGCAUUAUUGACAAAAGCACAUCAUAUAAUGGAUAUGAAUUGCAUAACUCUUUAAGGAGAAUGAAUUUUUAUAUUUCUCAAUUUUCCAAACUGCUCACGACUUUAACAACAAAAAAUGCUUUGCUAUUAGACCAACAUGUGUUGGGUAUUUUUUUUAUGCUAAAAAUAACAGUUCAUUAAAGUACUGUUGCUCGUGAUUAAAGGUUUCAUUAAAAUUCUAUCAAAAAGAAGAGACUUUAUUUAAAAAAAAAAAAAAUAUAUAUAUAUAUAUAUAGGGUGUAAAACUAGUUUUUGACAAACAUGAAUCUGUAUUAGAAACACUAUAUCAUCGAUUAAUAAAACCGGUCAAGUUGCGAAUGCU
Schizosaccharomyces pombe (fission yeast) is the source of this 1543-nucleotide non-coding RNA. The record is from the annotation of a GenBank genome assembly. NCBI's taxonomy places the organism in Eukaryota, Fungi, Ascomycota, Schizosaccharomycetes, Schizosaccharomycetales, Schizosaccharomycetaceae.